Molecule: non-coding RNA, 120 nt
Organism: Aspergillus clavatus NRRL 1
Lineage: Eukaryota; Fungi; Ascomycota; Eurotiomycetes; Eurotiales; Aspergillaceae
Source: Rfam
GAGGAGUGGGACAAGCUAGCUCAGAACCCAUUUCUUGCCUUUUACCAGAGAUGGCCGUGGCUUGCCCAAAAUACUCCUCUUCUCAAUCUUUGGACUUAUCCAUCGACACAGCUGUCGAUU